GAAGAAAAGGUUUAAGAUGUGGAAAAAUUCAUGUUCCUCUUCUGGUAACCUGGAAUCUGUCAACAACUUCACCAUGUAGCCAAAGUCAUAACCACUGAAAACAAAACCACAGAGAAACCAGGGCUUGGGGAUGACCCCCAAAAUGCCUUCUGUGGAACAGCUAAGCCAUUGGGAAGAAUACACAUUUCUGCCCCACUGUGUAGAUUUCUGUAGCUAAGGGCAAUACAGAGAAGAAAGAAACCCUGCAAGUAUAUGUUGAGAGAGAAGGAGGUGGUGGCAAGUCCUUUCAUUUGUGAUACCAUGUUGGACCAGAGGCUUCCUGAUCAAGUUGGUUGAAAUGCUACAAGAUAUCUUAACCACACAGGUGGAAGGAAAUUCAGAGCACCACCAACAUUUUAAGGAAGAAGAAACAAAAUCCUUUACAAUGCAUUUACUAAGUGCAGAAAUCAUAUUUCAACUUCUUCAAGAGAGGGAGACUGUAAAGCAAAAGGAUUCACAAGCAGUCAGGAAGUCACACCAUGAAGUGUCCUUACUUCUUAAACUUGGCCUUCAUAUCUUGAAGUUUCUUUUAAGAACUGCAGGACUGCUAAUUUUUCUCCUUAAAAUCUGUCAAUCUCCAUGAAAAAUGCAGAGAAUUAAGAAGAGAUUUAACAGGGUCAGUGAGCAUCCUGGACCCACCUGUGGAAGGACAGCCAUUUCACACUGUCACUGAGGACGACGCCCGACGUCAUCAGCAGCUCAGCAAAAUGCAAGGUAUCAAUCCCUUCCUCCUCAUGCUUCUGGAACUGCAGCCCAGAGCUGGCAAGGAGGUCUAUGGAAUCCUGAGAGUACAUGUCUUCCCUGAAGGAAAAACAAAAAAGCAAGUUUGCACUCAGGGUGCUGCCAAGACAAGCUCAUUUUAGAGAAAUUCUCCCCACACCAUGUCAAGAAUUGGACAAACCAGUAGGAUACUUCUGGGUCCAGUUUGUCUCUCUAGAAAACUCAAACUGGCUCAGUUUCAAUACCACUACUGCAGCCUCCUACAGCCAUAACAAGCUGUUCUGUGAUCAUAACUAGUUAACACUUCCACUGCUAGUGCAAAUUCCAAAGAUUCCAGCUCCAUAACUGACUGUUCUGAACGAUGUCCCUUCUGCAAGGUGAAGGGGAGCACCACAGAUGAGGCCAGAGGAAAGGGGAGUUCUCCCAAACAGGAAGAUGUGCAUCUCUAAAGCACUGACCAUCACUCCUGUCUACAUUUUUCCUUUCCACUCCACAGCAUGUACCACCUUAUCAGCACCUCCACUUCCAUCUCUGGGAGUGAACAGAAUUGCGUCAUCCUUGACUCAGGAAGCAGGACAAGAAUGAUGUGCUUGGUGGAGAGCUGAGCAGGAACCUGACUUCUUUACUGGUUUGUGUCAUUUGAGGGGGAGGAAACACACAGAGCCAAGUUCUAUCAAUAUGAUAACUCAUUUAAAUGAAAUGAUCACACAGCAAUAACAACUCCACUCUGAUUCCAAUACCUCUAAGAGGCUCACAAAUUUGUGGAGUAAAUAGUGCAACUUUUGGGGUCAAGAACUGGAUGAUCUGCACAUAGUAGCUACAAAUUUUUGUAAUGCUUUUCAUAAAAAUAGAUUUCCUCUACAUAUGUGGUUUUGCCAGAUAAACCCUUUCUUUAUUUCCAGACAGCUCUAGUGGUAAUUAUGCUGAGUUUAUCUUUAUAAUUACAGGGGAAGGGAUAAUAAAACUUGUUUCAGCUGCAACCCAGGAUAUUACAGUAUGCAGGAGACAAGAACUGCCACACUCCAUUUAACAAGAUUCAUUCUCCUGAACAGAUGUGAUGAUUACACCAACAUGUUUUUAGAUCCCAGCUUAUACUUAAGCAUGGAUCUGUAAAGAGGUCUUUUUCUUUUUGAUGAGACCAGCACAUCCAUUUAUUUUUAGCAGAAAGAGAUGGAGUUUUACAUAGAUAUAUAUAUGAAGUUUCAAACAGUGUUCCAGAAAAAAAAAAAAGGCAUACAAAAUUAUCAAGAGUAAGGGUAAUAAGGAUAGAAUUUUUACACUGUUAACUCCUGGCCCUCCAAAAUAGGCUCCCACAUAGUCAGUACUAGAAUCUGAAUCCUUAUUGCUCAGAAGCAGCCAGCAGUGAUGAACACAUGGACCCCGGUAUUUGCCAAAGGAAAGCAUCACUCCAGCAGAAGGAACAGGAAAUCAACGCCAAAGACUCACGUGAGGUUGAAUUUGAAGUUGAACUGCCAGGUGUUAAUGCCAGAAGGAUAUUCCCCCUUCUCAUUUGUGAAAGUCAGGCCCAGCUGGAUGAUUUUGAGCAGGUCCACGUUACAGCGAAGCAGCUGGUACUGGUAAUCGAUGGAGCUGCGGAAUUCACCGAUCGGCCGGACCACCACGCCGGGGAACUCCGUGUCCUGGCACACAAGGGAAAACUGAGCUUCACCAGGGAUUCUCUUAGGAGGCACUAUUACCACUCUGUUAGGACAGCCCAGACACUGAAACCCUUCACUGCUUCUGAGGAACAGUCAGUGCCUACAUCAACAAAAACCACUGUCAGUCAAACACACCUCAACAACAGCAGCCAUCUGUUAAAUGAAAAACCGCCUUUUAGAUGAAAAAACACCUUUUAGAUGUAAAACCACCUUUUAGAUGUAAAACCUCCUUUUAGAUGAAAAAGCUCUUCCUCAGCCAGUGACUGUGUGCUGUCUUUGCUGAACACCAAACUGCCAUACUGUUUCUACCCCCAGACUGGGUCACUGAGCUUCUACUGACUGCACACAAAAUCCUUCACAACAAACACAGUGCUGUGCACCUGACACAAUCUGUCCCUUGCCCAAGAGGUUUGUCUGUCUGCUCUUACAGCACAGUCACUCAAAUCCUAAGAACACUUUCAGUGAGACUGAAAAGAAGAAAAAAGUUCAUUUCCCAUUCACAAAUGUUAAAAAAUCAUGUUCACUUCCACAGCUGAAUUUGACACCAAUUCCCCACACACUCUGCAAAGACACCUGUCUUUUGCCAGGCUUUUAAUGAGGACUUUUCAUAUCUUGAGGUUCAGUGCUCCUAAGCAGAGCUGGCAGAACUUACAGCAUCACAGCUAAAACCAGUUCUUUAUCUAACACACUGGGGUGCUGCCAAGCAGAUACAGACUUGUGAGGGCAGGAGGAGAUUCCUCCCACCUGGGGGAGAUUAUGCUCUUCUUAAAUAAAGCUUUCUGAACAUAUUGUCUUAUCUACAGCCAGAAUAUUUUUCUUCCCUAAGAAUCAACAUCUGCCCUCAUUAGAAAGGAGGCAGCCCAGCUGGCUAGCAGUCACUUGCAGGCCUUUUGACCUCCAGUCCCAUGGCAUCUUGUAUAAUCAAAUGGAGAAAAACAUCCAAAGGACAAACACACUGGUGGAAAAACAAGGAUUUAAACCCAAUAGUGACUUGUUUCAUUUUCCUGUUGCACAAACUAAUACACUAUGAAUAGCUGAAUAUCAAAUAAAUUCAGGUUUUUAA
Molecule: long non-coding RNA, 3480 nt
Organism: Passer domesticus (house sparrow)
Lineage: Eukaryota; Metazoa; Chordata; Aves; Passeriformes; Passeridae
Exons: 2
Source: RefSeq, a predicted model, not a curated record